Pelobates cultripes (western spadefoot toad) is the source of this 238-nucleotide non-coding RNA. NCBI's taxonomy places the organism in Eukaryota, Metazoa, Chordata, Amphibia, Anura, Pelobatidae. The record is from the annotation of a GenBank genome assembly.
CCCCUGUCUCGUCUUUCCUCCAAGCUAUACAUGUUAAGAUCCUUUAACCUUUCCUGGUAAGUUUUAUCCCGCAAUCCAUGAACCAGUUUAGUAGCCCUUCUCUGAAUCCUCUCUAAGGUAUCAAUAUCCUUCUGAAGAUAUGGUCUCCAGUACUGUGUACAAUACUCCAAGUGAGGUCUCACCAGUGUUCUGUAUAAUGGCAUGAGCACUUCCCUCUUUCUACUGCUAAUACCUCUCC